Long non-coding RNA from Helianthus annuus (common sunflower), 587 nucleotides. RefSeq lists it as uncharacterized. NCBI's taxonomy places the organism in Eukaryota, Viridiplantae, Streptophyta, Magnoliopsida, Asterales, Asteraceae. The record is from RefSeq and is a predicted model, not a curated record. The transcript is spliced from 2 exons.
GCGAUAAAAGGCAACAAGAUUGCAAUUAGGGUUUGGGAGAGAUCUGAAAAUGGCGAUGAGGAGCUUUUUCAACGAGAUCAGGGGAAUGAAGGUGAAAGACGUGCCGAAGCACGUGAAGCCGAUGGUGACGACAAGCAACGCCAAGAAUUUCAUCCAGCGAGCAUUGGAUAAUUACCAUGCCAAAUACAUUCAGACCGACUCCAUCGUUCCGCUCUAUCACGUCUGCUUUGGUGGCAUGAUCUUCUCUUACCUUGUCGCCCUUCCUGAGGAGCGUCGUCAUCUUGAGCACCAGCAACAUGCCAAAGGCCAUUGAGUUGCUCAUCCGAUUCAGGUUUUGGGAGGGGGCCAUUUGAAUAAAUGAAUUUUCGUUUAUUGGUUGGUGUAUGCGUGAAAGAAGGAAAAACAAAACGCAUGUUGUUUGGACAUCAUUUCUAAUCAUUAAACCUUCCUGUUCAUUUGUUUACUUUGUUUGACAUCGUUUCUUUUUGUUAAACCAAACUUACUAAGGAUACAACAUACUAUGUAUGUUGAGAUAAAACUUCUAAACUUUCUUAUCAUGAAUAAUAUAUAUGCAUUUGUUUACAUGU